UUCCUAUGAGGAAGAAAUCCCCAAUAAAGAUAGGAAGUGCCGUAUGACACGUUAAACAGCGGCGGAUCC
Non-coding RNA from Helianthus annuus (common sunflower), 69 nucleotides. NCBI's taxonomy places the organism in Eukaryota, Viridiplantae, Streptophyta, Magnoliopsida, Asterales, Asteraceae. The record is from Rfam.